RNAcentral lists this ribosomal RNA (519 nucleotides) under uncultured Glomeromycotina. Its description in RNAcentral is "SSU rRNA". It matches the Rfam family "Eukaryotic small subunit ribosomal RNA", at positions 569 to 1090 of the family's 1831-position model. Lineage: Eukaryota; Fungi; Glomeromycota. The record is from RNAcentral.
AGCAGCCGCGGUAAUUCCAGCUCCAAUAGCGUAUAUUAAAGUUGUUGCAGUUAAAAAGCUCGUAGUUGAAUUUCGGGAUUUAUCCGUCGGUCGGGCUUUUGGGUCUGUACUGGCGUGAUGGAUUUCUACCUUCUGAAUAACCGGCAUGUCAUUAAUUUGGUGCGCCGGGGAAGCAGGACUGUUACCUUGAAAAAAUUAGAGUGCUUAAAGCAGGCUAUUGCCUGAAUACAUUAGCAUGGAAUAAUGAAAUAGGAUGGCAUGGUUCUAUUUUGUUGGUUUCUAGGAUCACCGUAAUGAUUAAUAGGGAUAGUUGGGGGCAUUAGUAUUCAAUUGUCAGAGGUGAAAUUCUUGGAUUUAUUGAAGACUAACUUCUGCGAAAGCAUUUGCCAAGGAUGUUUUCAUUAAUCAAGAACGAAAGUUAGGGGAUCGAAGACGAUCAGAUACCGUCGUAGUCUUAACCAUAAACUAUGCCGACUAGGGAUCGGACGAUGUUAAAUUAAUGACUCAUUCGGCUACCCG